Molecule: ribosomal RNA, 488 nt
Filed under: uncultured bacterium
Lineage: Bacteria
Description: bacterial SSU rRNA
Rfam family: Bacterial small subunit ribosomal RNA
Source: RNAcentral
GUAAACGAUGAGUACUAAGUGUUGGAUGUCAAAGUUCAGUGCUGCAGUUAACGCAAUAAGUACUCCGCCUGAGUAGUACGUUCGCAAGAAUGAAACUCAAAGGAAUUGACGGGGGCCCGCACAAGCGGUGGAGCAUGUGGUUUAAUUCGAAGCAACGCGAAGAACCUUACCAGGUCUUGACAUACUCAUAAAGGCUCCAGAGAUGGACAGAUAGCUAUAUGAGAUACAGGUGGUGCAUGGUUGUCGUCAGCUCGUGUCGUGAGAUGUUGGGUUAAGUCCCGCAACGAGCGCAACCCUUAUCGUUAGUUACCAUCAUUAAGUUGGGGACUCUAGCGAGACUGCCAGUGACAAGCUGGAGGAAGGCGGGGAUGACGUCAAAUCAUCAUGCCCCUUAUGACCUGGGCUACACACGUGCUACAAUGGAUGGUGCAGAGGGAAGCGAAGCCGCGAGGUGAAGCAAAACCCAUAAAACCAUUCUCAGUUCGGAU